This 2382-nucleotide long non-coding RNA is filed under the name Cricetulus griseus (Chinese hamster). RNAcentral describes it as "lncRNA (ENSCGRG00015039879.1)". The record is from RNAcentral. Lineage: Eukaryota; Metazoa; Chordata; Mammalia; Rodentia; Cricetidae.
GCAUCGAAGAAACUCAAUAUGGAGUUUUCUUUCAACAUGGCAAGAUUAGCUAUUUGGGCAGGAAACUGCUCUUGCCUGGACUGUUUGUUUCUGUAUAAACUGGACAUGCAGGACCCACAAGAAAGUAACUGCUGAACUUACAAAACAAGACAGUACUUGAAGGGUUCCUGUUGAAAUGAAGAAGUGUGCCAAACACACUAUGGCCUAUGGGCUGAAGAUGGAUGCCCCAACGUUACAGAGGAACUUUGGUUGACUGUCCAGGUAGAGAGAUGUCUCUGUCAAUUCUAGAGUUUAUAUAUUAUCCUUCUGUGGUCUUUGAUAGAGUUGAAGACAGAUAGUUAUGGUUAUAGUUUUUUCAGUUAUUAUAAAAGAUAAGUUAUCCUUCUUUUUAUUUAGACAGAAAAGAGGAGAUGAUGGGGAAUGUACUUCUGUGUAUGUUCAUCUUAUUGAUUGUUGAAUAAAGUACUGUUUGGCCAAUGAGACAGCUAGUUGGGGGGGACUAGGAGUCAAGGAGGAUUCUGGGAAAUGUAGUAAAGAAGUGGUGACCUGCAGGAAGUGACAUAGCAGGGAGACUCAUAUAUAAACAAGGGCAAGAAGGAAGUGGGCCCCCUUUCUCUUCCUCCAGAGUCACCAUGUGAUCCCAGGAUGAGGACACCAAUGGAAGCAAGCAGAGGGGACCACUUCAGAAACUAUGGAUUUCUAAAACAGCAUUGCAGAGUGUGGAGAAGUACAUAAAGCCACCUAAAAUUGACGCUCUGAGAGAAGCCUGUGUUGCCUUUGAUUGACCAGGAAAAGCCACAAUGAUCAACAGACUAAACCACCUCUGAAAAUGGUUUUCAGUCUGCCGAGACUCUUCUGUCAUAAUUCUAGGCAUUCAUCACCAAUCCUGAGGCUCUGGCUUUCUCUUUCAGCUUUCGACAGCUUUACUUAAAAAAAUCUUUUCCUGGAACCAGCUGGCCUCAUUUGUACACAAAACUUGGCUUAAUAACCAGAAAUGUCUGAGGCUGCAUGAACUUUCAAGUGCUUAUCUUCAACGUCCCAGGCAGGCUUUUUGUCUGAAGGACGGGUAACAUGGGUGAGUGAGACAGAGUCUCACUAUGCAGUCCAGGCUGGCCUUGAUCAGAAUCUUUUUGCCCCUAUCUCUUGCCUGCUGGGGUCACAAGUGUAUGGGACCAUCCUGUAUCACUUCAUUAGACCAUUGCAAUGUUGGUCUUUCAGAUGCCAGGCCACACAGUAUUAUUUACUAAUGAAUCCAAAUAUCUGGAAGGCCAUAUUCAGUGCAAUUAGAGAAACCUAAAAUACAGUAAAUAUUCUUUAAAAUUCUGUUUUGAGUCGAGUGUGGUGGCACAAGCCUUUAACUCCGGUACUUGUGAGACAGAGGCAGGUGAAUCUCUGAGUGUUCAAGGCCAGGCUGAUCUACAGGGGGAGUUCCAGGACAGCCAGAGGUAAUAGGGAGACCCUGUCUCAAAAAAACAAAACAAAGCUACCCUCUUGAAGUUAUCACUACACCAAGUAGCUUCUUAAUACAAUUUACUAGUAGAGGAUGAAAAACGGUGUCUGCUGAUUACCUUUGCCUCUGUCCCUUUGUAUUUACCUUUAUUUAGAAUAAAGACUAUGCAGUUCUACGUGAGCUACAAGGUCUCUGCAAUUAAGUAACCUAAAUAAAAUCGCAUUUCUAUAUAAACAAACUUGUAGGGCCCAGGUAGAGAGCUCAUUCAGUAAAGUGCUUGCCAUGCAGAUAUGAGGGGUACCUCCAGCACCCCUAUUAAAAUCCAGGUGUGGUGGCAUUGCCUGUAAUCCCAGUAUAGGGAAGACAGAGACAAGAAAACCCCUCUAGGGACUCACGCACCUGCCAGCCUAGCCUAAUGGGUGAGCCCCAGGAUCAAUGAGAGACCCUAUUUAUAAAAACAAGAAGGAUGGCUCCUCCAAGGUUGAGCUCUGGCCGCCAUGAGCACCUAAAUACACAUGUACCCGAACACAUGCAUAUUGAUCCACAUGCAUACCUGUGUGUACACACAGAGGAGCUGGACCACAUUAGCUAAACUUGCCCUUAUGAGGUCUAUAAUGUUUUUCUCGGCUUCAGUUUCCAGUGCACCCAUAAGGAGUUUGUUGUGAAUCAUUGGGUACUUUCAGAAGCUCUUUUGAGAUCUUUCCCAUCCUGACCAAAGAUUUCACCAGUGUUACCAUCCAGGCACACAUAGGCCCUGCCCCUUGGGGACCUAGCAGAGUGCAAGCAGUACCCUGGCUCUACUCAGGGGCAAAAGGUCCCUUUACAAGACAAGCUCUGCUCUCUCUUUUCUGCUGUCCCUCUGAAGAAUCAGGUCUUUGCCCCCCUCUCUGGUUUUUGUUCAUUUGUAAAAACUAUUCUUUCCUUUAUGUCAA